RNAcentral lists this transfer RNA (82 nucleotides) under Omnitrophica bacterium RIFCSPHIGHO2_02_FULL_63_14. RNAcentral's name for it is "tRNA-Leu". It matches the Rfam family "tRNA". Rfam says of the family: Transfer RNA (tRNA) molecules are approximately 80 nucleotides in length. Their secondary structure includes four short double-helical elements and three loops (D, anti-codon, and T loops). The record is from RNAcentral. Lineage: Bacteria; Pseudomonadati; Candidatus Omnitrophota.
GGGCGAGUGGCGAAACUGGCAGACGCGCAAGCCUUAGGAGCUUGUGGGGAAACCCUUAGAGGUUCAAAUCCUCUCUCGCCCA